This 108-nucleotide small RNA is filed under the name Flavobacteriia bacterium. Its description in RNAcentral is "6S RNA". It matches the Rfam family "6S-Flavo RNA". Lineage: Bacteria; Pseudomonadati; Bacteroidota; Flavobacteriia. The record is from RNAcentral.
ACUCAACACGAACUCAUUAAAAAGGAUGAGUCUUUGUUGUUAGAUUGUGCCGUCUUUGUUACGGAUCUUCGAGCAACAAGUUAGUCCUAAACUUGUUUAAUGGAGUUU